CUUAACUAUAAGAAUUUGCUGGAGAUACUAUUAGACUUGAAGUCGGGAGAGGUUAGAGGUACUACCGGGGUAGGGGUGAAAUCCUAUAAUCCUGGGAGGACCACCUGUGGCGAAGGCGUCUAACUGGAACGAUCUUGACGGUGAGUAACGAAAGCCAGGGGCGCGAACCGGAUUAGAUACCCGGGUAGUCCUGGCCGUAAACGAUGUGGACUUGGUGUU
RNAcentral lists this ribosomal RNA (219 nucleotides) under uncultured archaeon. RNAcentral's name for it is "partial 16S ribosomal RNA". It matches the Rfam family "Archaeal small subunit ribosomal RNA", at positions 558 to 775 of the family's 1478-position model. The record is from RNAcentral.